RNAcentral lists this long non-coding RNA (515 nucleotides) under Brassica rapa (field mustard). Its description in RNAcentral is "long non-coding RNA (BRAP_LNC004003)". The record is from RNAcentral. Lineage: Eukaryota; Viridiplantae; Streptophyta; Magnoliopsida; Brassicales; Brassicaceae.
UAUAAUAUAAAUAACACUUUAUUACCAGGUAUGUAAUAAAAAAGAAGACAACUCACUCUUUAUAUGAAAGUAAGUUAAAAAAAAAACACUCAUUAGGACAUGUAUAUGGCAACUAUAUUAACCAAUGCUUGAAAUAAUCCACACAAAAUUAUGUAAGUACGUUAAUAAUUGCAAGAGAGUGACACUUUGAACUUUGAAGGUUUACAAAGAAUUAAUGCAGCUUUACAUAUAAAUGUGGUGGUUGCGACUAUCCAGCUUGGCUUGUCGACACAUUGCUCUCUAUUGCAUUAUGAUACCGCACGUGUUCCAUUUCAUAUAAAUCUUUAUAGAGUGUAAAAAUAGAACAAAUAAAAAAGAUAUCGAAUUGUUGAUCAUUAUUCACUUUUUCAUCGUGGGCGUGGGAAGAAAAAAGUUUUGCAUUAUUAUAACAAAUACAAAAAAUGAAACUAAAUAUAAAUUUGUGAAAAUAAGUAUCAUAACUAGAACAAAAAAAAAACUUGUACAAAAUAAUUGUU